RNAcentral lists this ribosomal RNA (545 nucleotides) under uncultured bacterium. RNAcentral describes it as "partial 16S ribosomal RNA". It matches the Rfam family "Bacterial small subunit ribosomal RNA", at positions 355 to 893 of the family's 1533-position model. The record is from RNAcentral.
UGGGGAAUUUUGGACAAUGGGCGAAAGCCUGAUCCAGCAAUGCCGCGUGUGUGAAGAAGGCCUUCGGGUUGUAAAGCACUUUUGUCCGGAAAGAAAUCCUUGGCUCUAAUACAGUCGGGGGAUGACGGUACCGGAAGAAUAAGCACCGGCUAACUACGUGCCAGCAGCCGCGGUAAUACGUAGGGUGCAAGCGUUAAUCGGAAUUACUGGGCGUAAAGCGUGCGCAGGCGGUCCGCUAAGACAGAUGUGAAAUCCCCGGGCUUAACCUGGGAACUGCAUUUGUGACUGGCGGGCUAGAGUAUGGCAGAGGGGGGUAGAAUUCCACGUGUAGCAGUGAAAUGCGUAGAGAUGUGGAGGAAUACCGAUGGCGAAGGCAGCCCCCUGGGCCAAUACUGACGCUCAUGCACGAAAGCGUGGGGAGCAAACAGGAUUAGAUACCCUGGUAGUCCACGCCCUAAACGAUGUCAACUAGUUGUCGGGUCUUCAUUGACUUGGUAACGUAGCUAACGCGUGAAGUUGACCGCCUGGGGAGUACGGUCGCAAGA